AACGAACGCUGGCGGCAUGCCUAACACAUGCAAGUCGAACGAGACCUUCGGGUCUAGUGGCGCACGGGUGCGUAACGCGUGGGAAUCUGCCCUUGGGUUCGGAAUAACAGUUGGAAACGACUGCUAAUACCGGAUGAUGACGUAAGUCCAAAGAUUUAUCGCCCAGGGAUGAGCCCGCGUAGGAUUAGCUAGUUGGUGGGGUAAAGGCCUACCAAGGCGACGAUCCUUAGCUGGUCUGAGUGGAUGAUCAGCCACACUGGGACUGAGACACGGCCCAGACUCCUACGGGAGGCAGCAGUGGGGAAUAUUGGACAAUGGGCGAAAGCCUGACCCAGCAAUGCCGCGUGAGUGAUGAAGGCCUUAGGGUUGUAAAGCUCUUUUACCCGGGAUGAUAAUGACAGUACCGGGAGAAUAAGCCCCGGCUAACUCCGUG
This 433-nucleotide ribosomal RNA is filed under the name uncultured bacterium. RNAcentral's name for it is "partial 16S ribosomal RNA". It matches the Rfam family "Bacterial small subunit ribosomal RNA", at positions 29 to 507 of the family's 1533-position model. The record is from RNAcentral.